RNAcentral lists this transfer RNA (87 nucleotides) under Burkholderiales bacterium. Its description in RNAcentral is "tRNA-Leu". It matches the Rfam family "tRNA". From Rfam's summary of the family: Transfer RNA (tRNA) molecules are approximately 80 nucleotides in length. Their secondary structure includes four short double-helical elements and three loops (D, anti-codon, and T loops). The record is from RNAcentral. RNAcentral also lists the same sequence under 2 other names. Lineage: Bacteria; Pseudomonadati; Pseudomonadota; Betaproteobacteria; Burkholderiales.
GCCGAGGUGGCGGAAUUGGUAGACGCACUAGGUUCAGGUCCUAGCGGUCGCAAGACUGUAGGAGUUCGAGUCUCCUCCUCGGCACCA